UAUAUAUAAGUGUAAUUUGCACAGAAAAUUUUGAGUUUUCCAGUUAUGAUUAAUAUCAUAAUAUAUAA
RNAcentral lists this transfer RNA (68 nucleotides) under Calanus simillimus. Its description in RNAcentral is "tRNA-Gln". Lineage: Eukaryota; Metazoa; Arthropoda; Copepoda; Calanoida; Calanidae. The record is from RNAcentral.